GCCAGGUGUGGCAGCACACGCCUGUAGUCCCAGCUACUCAGGAGGCUGAGGCAGGAAAAUCAAUUGAGCCCAGGGGUCUUGUGCUGUGGUGCUCUUCCUAUCAGGUGUCUGCACUAAGUUCAGCAUCAGUAUGGUGACAUUCUGGGAGUAGGGGACUAAUUGACUAAGGAGGGAUUAAAUAGCUCAGGAAAUAAACAGAGUAGGUCAAAUCUCCCAUGCUGAUCAGUAGUGGGACUGUUUCUGUGAAAAGCCACUAUACUCAAGGGGCAGCAUAGUGACACCCCAUAUCU
This 290-nucleotide signal recognition particle RNA is filed under the name Cebus imitator (Panamanian white-faced capuchin). RNAcentral's name for it is "Metazoan signal recognition particle RNA (ENSCCAG00000007752.1)". It matches the Rfam family "Metazoan signal recognition particle RNA". From Rfam's summary of the family: The signal recognition particle (SRP) is a universally conserved ribonucleoprotein. It is involved in the co-translational targeting of proteins to membranes. Lineage: Eukaryota; Metazoa; Chordata; Mammalia; Primates; Cebidae. The record is from RNAcentral.